Molecule: ribosomal RNA, 497 nt
Filed under: uncultured bacterium
Lineage: Bacteria
Description: partial 16S ribosomal RNA
Rfam family: Bacterial small subunit ribosomal RNA
Source: RNAcentral
GAUGAACGCUGGCGGCGUGCCUAAUACAUGCAAGUCGAGCGAACGGACGAGAAGCUUGCUUCUCUGAUGUCAGCGGCGGACGGGUGAGUAACACGUGGAUAACCUACCUAUAAGACUGGGAUAACUUCGGGAAACCGGAGCUAAUACCGGAUAAUAUUUUUAACCGCAUGGUUCAAAAGUGAAAGACGGUCUUGCUGUCACUUAUAGAUGGAUCCGCGCUGCAUUAGCUAGUUGGUAAGGUAACGGCUUACCAAGGCAACGAUGCAUAGCCGACCUGAGAGGGUGAUCGGCCACACGGGAACUGAGACACGGUCCAGACUCCUACGGGAGGCAGCAGUAGGGAAUCUUCCGCAAUGGGCGAAAGCCUGGCGGAGCAACGCCGCGUGAGUGAUGAAGGUCUUCGGAUCGUAAAACUCUGUUAUUAGGGAAGAACAUAUGUGUAAGUAACUGUGCACAUCUUGACGGUACCUAAUCAGAAAGCCACGGCUAACUACGUG